GGGCCCGCACAAGCGGUGGAGUAUGUGGUUUAAUUCGAUGCAACGCGAAGAACCUUACCAGGGUUUGACAUCCUGCGAAUUUCUGGGAAACCGGAAAGUGCCUUCGGGAGCGCAGUGACAGGUGGUGCAUGGCUGUCGUCAGCUCGUGUCGUGAGAUGUUGGGUUAAGUCCCGCAACGAGCGCAACCCACGUCUUUAGUUGCCAGCGGGUAAUGCCGGGGACUCUAGCGAGACUGCCGUUGUCAAAACGGAGGAAGGUGGGGACGACGUCAAGUCAUCAUGGCCCUUAUGGCCUGGGCUACAAACGUGCUACAAUGCUACGGACAAAGGGCAGCAAGUUCGCGAGGACAAGCAAAUCCCAUAAACCGUGGCUCAGUUCAGAUCGUAGGCUGCAACUCGCCUACGUGAAGGCGGAAUCGCUAGUAAUCGC
RNAcentral lists this ribosomal RNA (429 nucleotides) under uncultured bacterium. Its description in RNAcentral is "bacterial SSU rRNA". It matches the Rfam family "Bacterial small subunit ribosomal RNA", at positions 917 to 1345 of the family's 1533-position model. The record is from RNAcentral.